GGGGUGUUAGCUCAGCUGGUUUAGAGCACUACCUUGACAGGGUAGGGGUCACUGGUUCGAAUCCAGUACAUCCCACAA
This 78-nucleotide transfer RNA is filed under the name Chryseolinea serpens. RNAcentral's name for it is "tRNA_Val_GAC". It matches the Rfam family "tRNA". Rfam says of the family: Transfer RNA (tRNA) molecules are approximately 80 nucleotides in length. Their secondary structure includes four short double-helical elements and three loops (D, anti-codon, and T loops). The record is from RNAcentral. Lineage: Bacteria; Pseudomonadati; Bacteroidota; Cytophagia; Cytophagales; Fulvivirgaceae. RNAcentral also lists the same sequence under 1 other name.